UACAGAGGUCCCAAGCGUUACUGAGAAUCACUGGGUUUAAAGGGUGCGUAGGUGGUCCGUUAAGUCAGUUGUGAAAUCCCCGGGCUCAACCCGGGAACUGCUUCUGAUACUGGCGGACUUGAGGCCAGUAGGGGUCACUAGAACUGACGGUGGAGCGGUGAAAUGCGUAGAUAUCGUCAGGAAUGCCGGUGGUGAAGACGGGUGACUGGGCUGGUUCUGACACUGAGGCACGAAAGUGUGGGGAUCAAACAGG
This 253-nucleotide ribosomal RNA is filed under the name uncultured bacterium. Its description in RNAcentral is "partial 16S ribosomal RNA". It matches the Rfam family "Bacterial small subunit ribosomal RNA", at positions 524 to 776 of the family's 1533-position model. The record is from RNAcentral.